Molecule: ribosomal RNA, 258 nt
Filed under: Bacillus subtilis
Lineage: Bacteria; Bacillati; Bacillota; Bacilli; Caryophanales; Bacillaceae
Description: partial 16S ribosomal RNA
Rfam family: Bacterial small subunit ribosomal RNA
Source: RNAcentral
CGACUUGCAACGGCUGGCGGCAGGCCUAACACAUGCAAGUCGAGCGGCAGCACGGGUACUUGUACCUGGUGGCGAGCGGCGGACGGGUGAGUAAUGCCUAGGAAUCUGCCUGGUAGUGGGGGAUAACGUCCGGAAACCAACGCUAAUACCCCAUACGUCCUACGGGAGAAAGCUGGGGACCUUCGGGCCUUGCGCUAUCAAAUGAGCCCAGGUCGGAUCAGCUAGUUGGUGAGGUAAGGGCUCACCAAGGCGACGAUC